This 1035-nucleotide ribosomal RNA is filed under the name uncultured bacterium. RNAcentral's name for it is "bacterial SSU rRNA". It matches the Rfam family "Bacterial small subunit ribosomal RNA", at positions 11 to 1077 of the family's 1533-position model. The record is from RNAcentral.
GUUUGAUCCUGGCUCAGAAUCAACGCUGGCGGCGUGCCUAACACAUGCAAGUCGAACGAGAAAGUGGAGCAAUCCAUGAGUAAAGUGGCGCACGGGUGAGUAACACGUGACUAACCUACCCUUGAGUGGGGGAUAACCUGGAGAAAUCCGGGCUAAUACCGCAUAACACCUACGGGUCAAAGGAGCAAUUCGCUUAAGGAGGGGGUCGCGGCAGAUUAGCUAGUUGGCGGGGUAAUGGCCCACCAAGGCGGUGAUCUGUAUCCGGCCUGAGAGGGCGCACGGACACACUGGAACUGAAACACGGUCCAGACUCCUACGGGAGGCAGCAGUGGGGAAUUUUGCGCAAUGGGGGAAACCCUGACGCAGCAACGCCGCGUGGAGGAUGAAGUCCUUCGGGACGUAAACUCCUUUCGAUCGGGACGAUUAUGACGGUACCGGAAGAAGAAGCCCCGGCUAACUUCGUGCCAGCAGCCGCGGUAAUACGAGGGGGGCGAGCGUUGUUCGGAAUUAUUGGGCGUAAAGGGUGCGUAGGCGGUUUGGUAAGUCUUGUGUGAAAUCUAUGGGCUCAACUCAUAGUCUGCACGAGAAACUGUCGGGCUUGAGUGUGGGAGAGGUGAGUGGAAUUUCCGGUGUAGCGGUGAAAUGCGUAGAUAUCGGAAGGAACACCUGUGGCGAAAGCGGCUCACUGGACCACAACUGACGCUGAUGCACGAAAGCUAGGGGAGCAAACAGGAUUAGAUACCCUGGUAGUCCUAGCCCUAAACGAUGACUGCUUGGUGUGACGGGUACCCAAUCCCGCCGUGCCGUAGCUAACGCGUUAAGCAGUCCGCCUGGGGAGUACGGUCGCAAGGCUGAAACUCAAAGGAAUUGACGGGGGCCCGCACAAGCGGUGGAGCAUGUGGUUUAAUUCGACGCAACGCGAAGAACCUUACCUGGGCUCGAAAUGCUAUGGGACCGGGGUGAAACAUCCCUUCCCCGCAAGGGCCGUAGUAUAGUGCUGCAUGGCUGUCGUCAGCUCGUGUCGUGAGAAUGUUG